Molecule: long non-coding RNA, 557 nt
Filed under: Carica papaya (papaya)
Lineage: Eukaryota; Viridiplantae; Streptophyta; Magnoliopsida; Brassicales; Caricaceae
Description: long non-coding RNA (CPAP_LNC004614)
Source: RNAcentral
GAGAAAAAAGGGUGAAAAUUUGAGUUCGAGUGGUGUUUUUUUUUUAAAAAAUUAGAAACAUGGAGCUAAAAUGCAAAAAGAAAAAAUUCAGCCACGUGGGACGAUCCAGUCAGUAGACCCGACAAAUUAGAGCACGCCGCUUAACAAAACACACUGACAUCGACGCCACACGGGCGAUCUGCAUGCCCAGUGAUCAUGGGGAUUAUGGGGGACCGACCUUGCUAUCAUCUUAAUAAUACCUACCGCAUAUGUAGGAGUGCCCAACAUUACGCGAGAGAGUGUCCGAAAAAUCAGAAUCAGGUCAAACCUCUUAUUUAGGGUAGAGCUUACAACCUCACUUAGUAAGAUACUGAAGCCAACCUGGACGUGAUAUAUGGUACGUAUACUAUCUGUAAUCAUCUUGCACAUAUUUUGAUUGAUACUAGUGCUUCACAUUCGUUUGUCUCACAUACUUUUGCAUGAAACUUGAAUGUAUUACAUGAGAGACUUGAUUCUGUACUAUUUGUGUCUAUUCUUGGAAGUAGAACACUACUAGAGGAGGUUAUAAACAAAGCUUG